This 463-nucleotide ribosomal RNA is filed under the name uncultured bacterium. RNAcentral describes it as "partial 16S ribosomal RNA". It matches the Rfam family "Bacterial small subunit ribosomal RNA", at positions 339 to 795 of the family's 1533-position model. The record is from RNAcentral.
CUACGGGUGGCUGCAGUGGGGAAUCUUGCGCAAUGGGCGAAAGCCUGACGCAGCAACGCCGCGUGAGCGAAGAAGGCCUUCGGGUUGUAAAGCUCUGUCAGGGGGAAAGAAGGCACCUGGGUUAAUAGCCCAAGGGCUGACGGUACCCCCAAAGGAAGCCACGGCUAACUACGUGCCAGCAGCCGCGGUAAUACGUAGGUGGCAAGCGUUGUCCGGAAUCAUUGGGCGUAAAGCGCGCGUAGGUGGUUUGUCAGGUCCGAUGUGAAAUCCUGGGGCUCAACUCCAGGCGUGCAUUGGAAACCGGCUUACUAGAGUCUGGGAGAGGAGAGUGGAAUUCCUGGUGUAGCGGUGAAAUGCGUAGAUAUCAGGAGGAACACCAGUAGCGAAGGCGGCUCUCUGGAACAGUACUGACGCUGAGGCGCGAAAGCUAGGGGAGCGAACAGGAUUAGAUACCCUGGUAGUC